Molecule: long non-coding RNA, 1892 nt
Filed under: Lupinus angustifolius (narrow-leaved blue lupine)
Lineage: Eukaryota; Viridiplantae; Streptophyta; Magnoliopsida; Fabales; Fabaceae
Description: long non-coding RNA (LANG_LNC003179)
Source: RNAcentral
GGGUAUUCAUAAAAUAUCAGAGCUAGUUCCAUCCCAUUGCCAUCAGAACAUGUUGCAGCUUGGACUGAAAUUGGAAUUUAGUAGUGGGACCCACUCGUAGGUGUCUAGUAUUGACAGGGUGGAUGCAGUCAUGCCUUACGACAUUAAUUGACAAACAUGCUUUCUUCCUAACUUCUGCGCUUCUUCCGUUUAUCCGUUACAUUUUCUUUCCCAUCAUUCUCCACGUGUCCCCUUUUCCUUGUUCUUUGCUACUUUGAUCUUCACGUCCUAUUUCGUCCAGUUAAAAUUUUGCACGUUCUUCAUUUGGUCCAUGAAGUUGUAGAAUUAGAAUAAAGAGUACUGAUUAUAACUCAUAAUCUCAUACAUUAAUAAAUAAAAGAGUACUAAAUUUAUACAAUGUCAGUAUAAAGAUGUAUGUAUAAUUAAUAUAUCAUCUAUCGUUUAUUUGAAUUAUUUUAAAAAAUUAAUGAUAAUAAAAAUGAAUGAUAAUGAUAUAAAAACUUACACUACCAAUAUAUACAUUUUUCUGUAAAUAAAAUAAAAUAUGUCACUGCGAAUGAACAAUCAUUAAAUAAAGGAAAAAUGUAUAUUACAAUCAAGUUUAAUUUUAUUACAAUCAAGUUUUAAACUUCUCUAAAUAUUAAUACCAAUUUUAAUUUUAUUACAAGUUUUAAACUUCUCUAAUUCAUAAAAGGGAAUGUAGUAUCUCCUACUAUCAGGAGAUAACAUGUGUCAUGUUUCAUUAUUUUCUAUAAAAAUAUUUUUAAAAAUAAACAAAAUAGUACACAUGUCAUAUUUGGCUAGAGGAGAUAAGUUAUCUCCUAAUAUGAUGAGAUACAUUAUUCUCUUCAUAAAAUAGGUAUUUCUAUUAAAUCUCUGUUAAUUUAUUUAAUGGUGAAUUAGACCUUUAAUUUUUUUUAAUCUAUACACCGUUAAUUUAUUUAUUUAAAAACAUAAUAAAAAAAUAGCAAUAGUGAUAACACUAUUCUUCAGCCUAAAUGAUCAAAGAGAAAAAUAUAUCUUGGCUCAUCAAGUCUCAACAUACAGUCCCCCUUCCCCCUUUAAUAUUCAACUUCAGCCCUCCUAUUUAACUCUACCAGUAGAAAAUCAACACCAAUAACCAUUUUAAUUCCCUCAUAUUUCUCCUUUUCUUACAUUUCCAUAAUUUCAUUAUCAAUAAAUAGUUAGAAGAGUUUAUCGAUAAUUCAGAUGAUGAAGCAGAGGAUAUAUAUAUAUAUAUAUAUAUAUAUAUAUAUAUAUGACAUUAUAAGAGAUGCACAUUUACUUAAAUAAAUAAACAGUUAGAUGUAUAAAAGUCAUGCAAGCAAUCCUGGAAUUCUUACAAUCAUGCCCAAUAGUAAAGAUGUUCAACAAUUGUCUAACUAUGAUGAUACUGUUAGAUUGUUGAGCAUUGAUGGGAAUGAUAGCUCAUAAAAAUGGCUUGAGUUUAAUGAGAAAACUGACUUGCAUGAGUAUACAGAGCUUGUGAAUGAGAUGAAAUUUGACUCUAAUGACACAUUUGGAAAGGCUCUUAUUAAGUAACCAUCAAAAGAGGUUAUGAUAUUAAGUACACUCAUAAUAACAAAAGUAGAGUCACUAUUAUGUGCAAGGAUAAAUGUGGCCGGAGGAUUCAUGCUUCUCUAACACAAGAUAAGUCAUGUUUCCAAAUUAAGAGCUUCAACCUACUACAUGAAUGUGGAAGGCAUUGCCAGAACAAAAGGGUCACAACAAAAUGGGUUGCUAAUAAAUACCUAAAAAGCUUUAGGGAUUCCCCUAACUAGGAGGCUAGCAUUUUAAAAUUUGUUGUACAAAGCGAUCAUAUAAGGUAAUUAUAUCAAUUACGAAGCAUAUCAUGCCAAGACUCUUGCUUUGAAAAUCAUACACGGUGAUGA